Molecule: RNA transcript, 2831 nt
Organism: Mus musculus (house mouse)
Lineage: Eukaryota; Metazoa; Chordata; Mammalia; Rodentia; Muridae
Gene: Pomgnt1
Gene name: protein O-linked mannose beta 1,2-N-acetylglucosaminyltransferase
Exons: 22
Source: RefSeq, marked validated
GCCGGGGCGGGGCGCGAGAGGCAUGGAGGAGGCGGAGGCCGCGGAGGCCGCGGCGCGCGGGGCCGAGCUGUGCGGGCCCGAGCGCGGCCCGAGCGGGGCCCGGGGCCCCUGAGCCUCCCCUCAGAUUCCUGAAGUCAUGGACUGGCCGGGACAGGGGUGACUCCCUAAUCCAGUAUGGAUGACUGGAAGCCCAGUCCCCUCAUCAAGCCCUUUGGGGCUAGGAAGAAACGGAGCUGGUACCUUACCUGGAAGUAUAAACUGACAAACCAGCGGGCCCUGAGGAGAUUCUGUCAGACAGGGGCUGUGCUUUUCCUGCUGGUGACCGUCAUUGUCAACAUCAAGUUGAUCCUGGACACUCGGAGAGCAAUCAGCGAGGCCAAUGAAGACCCAGAACCAGAGCAAGACUAUGAUGAGGCCCUAGGACGUCUGGAGUCCCCUCGGCGCAGAGGCAGCAGUCCCCGACGGGUGCUGGAUGUGGAAGUAUACUCCAGUAGAAGCAAAGUGUAUGUGGCUGUGGAUGGCACCACGGUGCUCGAGGAUGAAGCCCGGGAGCAGGGCCGAGGCAUCCAUGUCAUAGUCCUCAACCAGGCCACGGGCCACGUGAUGGCAAAGCGCGUGUUUGACACAUACUCUCCUCAUGAGGAUGAGGCCAUGGUGCUGUUCCUCAACAUGGUGGCCCCCGGCCGCGUGCUGAUCUGCACGGUGAAGGAUGAGGGUUCCUUCCACCUCAAGGACACAGCAAAGGCUCUGCUGAGGAGCCUGGGAAGUCAGGCAGGCCCUGCCCUUGGCUGGAGGGACACCUGGGCCUUCGUGGGACGAAAAGGAGGUCCUGUACUUGGCGAGAAACAUUCUAAAUCUCCUGCCCUCUCCUCCUGGGGUGACCCAGUCCUGCUGAAGACAGAUGUGCCACUGAGCUCAGCUGAAGAGGCUGAGUGUCACUGGGCAGAUACGGAGUUGAACCGCCGCCGCAGGCGCUUCUGCAGCAAAGUGGAGGGCUACGGGAGCGUGUGCAGCUGCAAGGACCCGACGCCUAUUGAGUUCAGCCCUGACCCACUUCCAGACAAUAAGGUCCUCAAUGUGCCUGUGGCUGUCAUUGCAGGGAACCGGCCCAAUUACCUGUACAGGAUGCUGCGCUCUCUGCUCUCAGCCCAAGGGGUAUCUCCACAGAUGAUAACGGUCUUCAUUGAUGGCUACUAUGAGGAGCCAAUGGAUGUGGUGGCGCUGUUUGGUCUGAGAGGCAUCCAGCAUACUCCUAUCAGCAUCAAGAACGCCCGUGUGUCUCAGCACUACAAGGCCAGCCUCACUGCCACUUUCAACCUGUUUCCGGCUAGGGUGGGUAGUGCCUGAACACUAGGUCUGAAGACAGAUCCGUGGGAUAAGAGCAACCUCCUUGGAACCAUGAUGUUCCCUCCCGUCCCUGUAGGAGGCCAAGUUUGCUGUGGUUCUGGAAGAGGACCUGGACAUUGCCGUGGAUUUUUUCAGUUUCCUGAGCCAGUCCAUCCACCUGCUGGAGGAAGAUGACAGCCUGUACUGCAUCUCUGCCUGGAAUGACCAGGGGUAUGAACACACAGCUGAGGAUCCAGCACUACUGUACCGUGUGGAGACCAUGCCUGGGCUAGGAUGGGUGCUCAGGAAAUCUUUAUACAAGGAGGAGCUUGAGCCCAAGUGGCCCACACCAGAAAAGCUGUGGGAUUGGGACAUGUGGAUGCGGAUGCCGGAACAGCGCCGGGGCCGAGAGUGUAUCAUCCCGGAUGUUUCCCGAUCCUACCACUUUGGCAUCGUCGGCCUCAACAUGAACGGCUACUUUCAUGAGGCCUACUUCAAGAAGCACAAGUUCAACACAGUUCCAGGUGUCCAGCUCAGGAAUGUAGACAGUCUGAAGAAAGAAGCUUAUGAAGUGGAAAUUCACAGACUGCUCAGUGAGGCCGAGGUUUUGGACCACAGCAAGGACCCUUGUGAAGACUCCUUCCUGCCAGACACGGAGGGCCACACCUAUGUGGCGUUUAUCCGAAUGGAGACAGAUGAUGACUUCGCCACCUGGACUCAGCUUGCCAAGUGCCUCCAUAUUUGGGACCUGGAUGUUCGUGGCAACCACCGGGGCCUGUGGAGAUUAUUUCGGAAGAAGAACCACUUUUUGGUGGUGGGGGUCCCAGCCUCCCCUUACUCAGUGAAGAAGCCACCAUCAGUCACCCCUAUUUUCCUGGAGCCACCCCCAAAGGAAGAAGGAGCCCCAGGGGCUGCUGAACAAACGUGAAGCCUCCUCCAGGACUCUGCAGGGCUGGGUACUGUGUACCCCCAGACAGGCUAGCCCGUUGCCCUACCCUGUAGGAUUUAGUAGAUGCUGGUAGGGGUAGGGCUGGUUUGUUUUUAACAUGGAAUUUAAUUACUAACUCCAAGGGGAAGGAUCCCCUGCCCCAACACCCCUAUUCCUGAGUUUAAGGUCUAUUUAUUUACUUCCUUGUCAAAGAAGAGCAGGAGAGUUCCCAGGACCUCUUUGGGAUCCCUGGGUAGCUGAUCCACUCUUUUCAUACCCUGUCCUCCCAGGCCUGGCUCAGAACCUAUUUAUUGACUGUCCUGGGGGCCUUGGGAAUAGGCCCAACCCGGGGCCUUUAUUCCUCUCUGGACCAGGAUGCUGCCCUGAGGGUGGGACUGGCUCAUACUCAGGAAAACUGUUGUGCCCAACUGAUGGACAGGCCCAUAUGGGGUCCAUGUGCUGACAGACUCACACAGAGACCUUUAGACACUGGACCAGGUCUCCUCUUAGCCUUCUCUUUGUCCAGAUUUCCAAAACUGGAUAAAGAUGGUCAUUGAUUAAAAAAGAAGAAAACCUC